UACGUAGGGUGCGAGCGUUAAUCGGAAUUACUGGGCGUAAAGCGUGCGCAGGCGGUUUUGUAAGUCAGACGUGAAAGCCCCGGGCUCAACCUGGGAAUUGCAUUUGAAACUACAAGGCUAGAGUGCGUCAGAGGGGGGUAGAAUUCCACGUGUAGCAGUGAAAUGCGUAGAGAUGUGGAGGAAUACCGAUGGCGAAGGCAGCCCCCUGGGAUAACACUGACGCUCAUGCACGAAAGCGUGGGGAGCAAACAGG
Molecule: ribosomal RNA, 253 nt
Filed under: uncultured bacterium
Lineage: Bacteria
Description: partial 16S ribosomal RNA
Rfam family: Bacterial small subunit ribosomal RNA
Source: RNAcentral